UUGCAUUCUUAAACCCUCUUGGUUAGCUUCGUUCUAAAGGCUUCCAAGAUAUGAGUGAAUGCUAUAGAGAUUGCAGGGGAGUCCAAAGGGCUUUGCUUCUUCUGUGGCUCAGUCUUAUUUCAUACCUGCGACAUCU
Molecule: small nucleolar RNA, 136 nt
Organism: Balaenoptera acutorostrata (minke whale)
Lineage: Eukaryota; Metazoa; Chordata; Mammalia; Artiodactyla; Balaenopteridae
Product: small nucleolar RNA SNORA14
Exons: 1
Source: RefSeq, a predicted model, not a curated record